GACGAACGCUGGCGGCGUGCUUAACACAUGCAAGUCGAACGAAGAGCGAUGGAAGCUUGCUUCUAUCAAUCUUAGUGGCGAACGGGUGAGUAACGCGUAAUCAACCUUCCCUUCAGAGGGGGACAACAGUUGGAAACGACUGCUAAUACCGCAUACGAUCCAAUCUCGGCAUCGAGGAUGGAUGAAAGGUGGCCUCUAUUUAUAAGCUAUCACUGAAGUAGGGGAUUGCGUCUGAUUAGCUAGGUGGAGGGGUAACGGCCCACCAAGGCGAUGAUCAGUAGGCGGUCUGAGAGGAUGAACGGCCACAUUGGGACUGAGACACGGCCCAGACUCCUACGGGAGGCAGCAGUGGGGAAUCUUCCGCAAUGGACGAAAGUCUGACGGAGCAACGCCGCGUGAGGGAUGACGGCCUUCGGGUUGUAAAGCUCUGUUAAUCGGGACGAAAGGUCCUCUGGCGAAUAGUUAGAGGAAUUGACGGUACCGGAAUAGAAAGCCACGGCUAACUACGUG
RNAcentral lists this ribosomal RNA (510 nucleotides) under uncultured bacterium. Its description in RNAcentral is "partial 16S ribosomal RNA". It matches the Rfam family "Bacterial small subunit ribosomal RNA", at positions 28 to 507 of the family's 1533-position model. The record is from RNAcentral.